RNAcentral lists this transfer RNA (74 nucleotides) under Candidatus Woesearchaeota archaeon. Its description in RNAcentral is "tRNA-Lys". It matches the Rfam family "tRNA". From Rfam's summary of the family: Transfer RNA (tRNA) molecules are approximately 80 nucleotides in length. Lineage: Archaea; Nanobdellati; Candidatus Woesearchaeota. The record is from RNAcentral.
GGGCCCAUAGCUCAGCCUGGUAGAGCACAUGGCUCUUAACCAUGGGGUCAGGGGUUCGAAUCCCCUUGGGCCCA